GCUGCAGUUGCUCUCACUGUGCUGCAGACACUGUACCAAAACAAACCAAGGUUUUGCUGACACUCUUUGCUCUCCAAGUGGAUUCUCAUUUUCAGAAAGGAUCAAUACAUCUUCCACUACAAAAAGUCAACAGGACUUCAUGGGUGAGGAACUUCCUGAGACCUCUUCCUGAAGAAAGUUUUGGCUGCAGAUGGAUAAUUAGGACUUUUUGAUGAUGGAAAUUUGAGGCACCUGAAGUCCACCUGAAUCUUGGCCCAAGGAGCACAGAAGGACAUUGUCAGGCACAGGUCCAGUGACAGGACAAAAAACCUGGCUGGGGCUCAAAGGAAACAAAUGUCUCUCAUAUGUCUCAAGGCUAGGAAUU
Molecule: long non-coding RNA, 364 nt
Filed under: Parus major (Great Tit)
Lineage: Eukaryota; Metazoa; Chordata; Aves; Passeriformes; Paridae
Description: lncRNA (ENSPMJG00000007679.1)
Source: RNAcentral